AAGUGAACUGGUGGUUAAAAAGAGCCUGGCACCUGCCCCCCUCCCUUUUGCUUCCUCUCUCACCAUGUGGUCAGUUCACACCAGCCUUUCCUUGCCUUGUACUGUGAGUGGAAGCAGCCUGAGGGUGUCAUCAGAAGCAGAUGUUGGUACCAGGCUUCUUAUAGUUUGUAGAACUGUGAACCAAAGAAACCUCGUUUCUUUAUAAAUUAUUCAGCUUCAGGUAUUCUUUUCUCACAACACAAAAUGAUCCAGGACAGUACCUAAAAGCUUCAAUUUGCCAUUUGAUUCUUUCUAUGAGAUGACUAGAUUUUUUGGGAGGACAGGUCUAUCUAUCUGGAAAGAAGCCGUUUGGAAUGGAAGCAGUAUGAAACAAGCAUAAUUUUCUUGGUUUAAGCCAACCUUAUUAUAAGCCCCUGAAUCUUACAACUUUAUUACAUUUCUGCAAAUAUCCAGAAGCUUAUGUAUUUAUUAUUCUUUCAGGCUCUUGAGUUUCUGCUUUCAAGUGACCCUCAGAAAUUCCUCCAUUCACUGCAGAGGUUCUGUUUCUCCUUGCUUUGUUCUGACUUUACGGCAGAACUAAGCUAAUGAGUUAGUUACUAUGGGUUAUCACUUGGAUUUGAAGAACCAUCAUUUCUAGGCAUUGCUGCUCAGAGUGACCUUGCCAUCGUAUCCCCUUUUGGAGACACAAGCCAGGAAGGAAGCUCUUCAGUGCAGCUGUGAAUAGAGAAAUGCUGGCUGAGGUUUUGGAGACACUGGGUGAUCAUUCCCAGUGAAAUUUUUAGAUCCCUGGGGACAUGAGCUGCUUUGUCUUUUCCAAGGCUGAAAAAGUUUUGGAAGCCCUCCUAAGCAGGUGCCAGACCCUUUUUUGGCCAGAGACAGGAUCUUACGCUGUUGCCCAGGCUGGAGUGCAAUAGUGUCAUCAUGGCUCACUGUAGCCUGGAACUGCUGGGCUCAAGGGAUCCUCCCAGCUCAGCCUCCCAAGUAGCUAGGAGUAAAGUCUGGAGAACACUUUUUCUUUUGAGCUGUUUACAACCUUUAGCAAUUGAGUAGAGUGUACUCUUGUCAAUAGAAUUUGAAGCACAUUUCUCUCUCUGCCUGAUUUCUGUAGAAUUUGUAAACUAUUUGUGAAUAUUCUUAAUUUAUGGCAAUAUGGUUGCUUACAUAAGUUCAAUAAUAAUCUGUUUUCUUUUACAAUGAGACACAGUUGGAGGAACUGGUUAUUUUCCCAGGGCUUUGACUGAAAUGGCCUUGUGAAUGGUUCCAGGAAAGCCAAUUUUGGAGACCCUAUGUGGAUGAUGAUGCUUGCUGUACUUUCUGUGGGUAAUCGGGCCAAGUAUAUGGGACUGAAGCUAAUUUUGCAGGUGAGAAAAUGGAGGUCCAGAGAGAAAAGUGACUCACCCAAGCUGAAAACAGUUGCAGGAAGAAAAGCCAGGACAGAACUGGGCUGUUAGAAACCUUGGAGUACACUAAAGAUGAGGAACUGAGUCACCGCAAUGCCAAAUGUAACACGCUGUGGGUCAAAAUUUGGAUGGUUGCGUUGGAAAUUAUUCUGAAGCCACAGACAGGGCUAAAAGAGUCUAGAAUGUCCUACUAGCUGUUGGAACCUGCUGGAGUUCUAAAGGCAUGCGAUGUCCUGAAUGUGCUUGACCAAUGGACACAGCAGGUAUUUGAAGAGUUUUGAUGCUUCCUUUCUGUUUUCAGUGCUAUUUUUUUGCUUUAUUUCUUUUAAAAAACUUUCCCCACAGAGGCUAUUUAUUACACAGCAGCAGCCAGCAUGCACCAAGCAGAACUGCUUUUCAUAAUAAACCUAUUUAUCUUCUGGCAUGUCAGAAAUUUCUCAAAUUGAUACUUAUAAUAAAUAUGAUUAAUAACACAUUGUA
This 1880-nucleotide long non-coding RNA is filed under the name Homo sapiens (human). Its description in RNAcentral is "PREDICTED lncRNA (TCONS_00257616)". Lineage: Eukaryota; Metazoa; Chordata; Mammalia; Primates; Hominidae. The record is from RNAcentral.